UUUCCCAUUACCACCAUUGUCGCCGUUGUCAUUGCCAUUAACUCUAUCUUCCUUGUGAUCCAUUUCACAUACGCCCCUUCCGUCGGACUUGGAAGACCCAAGCUUGUCUUUCCCUAGACCAAGCUUCACCACGGACUCAACUACCGUCAUGGCUUCCGACAGUUUUUGGACACCUCUUUGUUCCACCUCCUGUCUAACCCACGGCUUCAAUCCCUUUUGAAAAGCAAGCAAUGCUUCUUCAUCGGUCACAUCUGAAAUUUGGAGCAUGAGUUCCUUGAACUCUUGAACAUACUCCCUCACUGUGCCCCGUUGCAUUAUCUCUUGCAACUUUGCCCGAGCUUCUUCCUCGCUAAAUUCUGGGUAAAACUGUCC
This 372-nucleotide long non-coding RNA is filed under the name Gossypium barbadense (sea-island cotton). Its description in RNAcentral is "long non-coding RNA (GBAR_LNC002337)". Lineage: Eukaryota; Viridiplantae; Streptophyta; Magnoliopsida; Malvales; Malvaceae. The record is from RNAcentral.